CAGUCGCCGCGGUAAUACGGAGGAUCCAAGCGUUAUCCGGAAUCAUUGGGUUUAAAGGGUCCGUAGGCGGUCUUGUAAGUCAGUGGUGAAAGCCCAUCGCUCAACGGUGGAACGGCCAUUGAUACUGCAGGACUUGAAUUAUUGGGAAGUAACUAGAAUAUGUAGUGUAGCGGUGAAAUGCUUAGAGAUUACAUGGAAUACCAAUUGCGAAGGCAGGUUACUACCAAUUGAUUGACGCUGAUGGACGAAAGCGUGGGUAGCGAACAGGAUUAGAUACCCCUGUAGUCCAUGUCUCUUAUAC
This 301-nucleotide ribosomal RNA is filed under the name uncultured bacterium. Its description in RNAcentral is "partial 16S ribosomal RNA". It matches the Rfam family "Bacterial small subunit ribosomal RNA", at positions 509 to 807 of the family's 1533-position model. The record is from RNAcentral.